UGAUUCUCGCUGUUGAACACAUCAGAUUUCCGAACUUCCCUCUCCUUUCAGGAUUCACAAUCGCAUCCAAGAUGAUUUUACAGAGAACUAAGAACGAAAUUUUCAGCUACAGCGGGAAUUAAGAUUGAAGAAGCAUCAGAAAUUAAAGGAGUUGGAUUCGGUUUUCAGUCAGUCUUGAUUCAAUGGCGUGUUUAUGCCGUGGGAAAGAAGAGAAGCUGGGGCAAAUUUUCCAGGCUUCCUAAUCCCCGGUUUGAUGUUGUAUGCUUGUGUGUGUGUGUGUUUUCAGUCAACUUUUGUUCGACCUGUGUUUGACCAUGAACCAUGUUUCUUCCAUUUCAUCACUGUCGGAUCACUAUGUUGCCUCUGUGCCACCCUGAAUUCACUAUAGAUUCAAGUUUUAAGUAACCAUUACAUUACAGUGCA
Long non-coding RNA from Neltuma alba, 423 nucleotides. RefSeq lists it as uncharacterized. NCBI's taxonomy places the organism in Eukaryota, Viridiplantae, Streptophyta, Magnoliopsida, Fabales, Fabaceae. The transcript is spliced from 2 exons. The record is from RefSeq and is a predicted model, not a curated record.